Molecule: regulatory RNA element, 100 nt
Organism: Desulfococcus multivorans DSM 2059
Lineage: Bacteria; Pseudomonadati; Thermodesulfobacteriota; Desulfobacteria; Desulfobacterales; Desulfococcaceae
Rfam family: Pyrrolysine insertion sequence mttB
Source: Rfam
CUCUCGGACGCCAAGAUCCCAGACUGCCAGGCCGGCUGGGAAAAGGCGAUGACCGUGCUUCUCGCGGCGAUGGGCGGCUCCAACUACAUCCACCAUUCGG